Molecule: ribosomal RNA, 719 nt
Filed under: uncultured haloarchaeon
Lineage: Archaea; Methanobacteriati; Methanobacteriota; Halobacteria; Halobacteriales; Halobacteriaceae
Description: bacterial SSU rRNA
Rfam family: Archaeal small subunit ribosomal RNA
Source: RNAcentral
UCGGGAAACUGAGGCUAAUCCUGGAUAGGGCUCACAGCCUGGAGUGGCGUGAGCUCGAAACGUUCCGGCGCCACAGGAUGUGGCUGCGGCCGAUUAGGUAGACGGUGGGGUAACGGCCCACCGUGCCAGUAAUCGGUACGGGUCAUGAGAGUGAGAGCCCGGAGACGGUAUCUGAGACAAGAUACCGGGCCCUACGGGGCGCAGCAGGCGCGAAACCUUUACACUGCACGACAGUGCGAUAAGGGGACCCCGAGUGCGAGGGCAUACAGUCCUCGCUUUUCUGCACCGUAAGGUGGUGCAGGAAUAAGUGCUGGGCAAGACCGGUGCCAGCCGCCGCGGUAAUACCGGCAGCACGAGUGAUGGCCGAUCUUAUUGGGCCUAAAGCGUCCGUAGCCGGCCAGACAGGUCCGUCGGGAAAUCCACGCGCCUAACGCGUGGGCGUCCGGCGGAAACCAGCUGGCUUGGGGCCGGAAGAUCCAGGGGGUACGUCCGGGGUAGGAGUGAAAUCCCGUAAUCCCGGACGGACCGCCGGUGGCGAAAGCGCCCUGGAAGGACGGACCCGACGGUGAGGGACGAAAGCUAGGGUCACGAACCGGAUUAGAUACCCGGGUAGUCCUAGCUGUAAACGAUGCCCGCUAGGUGUGGCGCAGGCUACGAGCCUGCGCUGUGCCGCAGCGAAGGCGCUAAGCGGGCCGCCUGGGAAGUACGUCUGCAAGGAU